CGCGUGGGAACGUGCCCUUUCUGCGGAAUAGCCUUGGGAAACUGAGAGUAAUACCGCAUACGCCCUUUUGGGGGAAAGAUUUAUCGGAGAAGGAUCGGCCCGCGUUGGAUUAGGUAGUUGGUGGGGUAAUGGCCUACCAAGCCGACGAUCCAUAGCUGGUUUGAGAGGAUGAUCAGCCACACUGGGACUGAGACACGGCCCAGACUCCUACGGGAGGCAGCAGUGGGGAAUCUUAGACAAUGGGGGCAACCCUGAUCUAGCCAUGCCGCGUGAGUGAUGAAGGCCUUAGGGUUGUAAAGC
This 300-nucleotide ribosomal RNA is filed under the name uncultured Paracoccus sp. RNAcentral's name for it is "bacterial SSU rRNA". It matches the Rfam family "Bacterial small subunit ribosomal RNA", at positions 114 to 431 of the family's 1533-position model. Lineage: Bacteria; Pseudomonadati; Pseudomonadota; Alphaproteobacteria; Rhodobacterales; Paracoccaceae. The record is from RNAcentral.